UACGUAUGGGGCAAGCGUUGUUCGGAUUUAUUGGGCGUAAAGGGCGUGUAGGCGGCUCACCAAGUCUGGUGUGAAAAGGCAGGGCUUAACCCUGCUCAUGCACUGGAAACUGGUGGGCUGGAGUUCUUGAGGGGAAGCUGGAAUUCCAGGUGUAGGGGUGAAAUCUGUAGAUAUCUGGAAGAACACCGGUGGCGAAGGCGAGCUUCUAUCAGAGGACUGACGCUGAGGCGCGAAAGCGUGGGGAGCAAACAGG
This 253-nucleotide ribosomal RNA is filed under the name uncultured bacterium. Its description in RNAcentral is "partial 16S ribosomal RNA". It matches the Rfam family "Bacterial small subunit ribosomal RNA", at positions 524 to 776 of the family's 1533-position model. The record is from RNAcentral.